This 942-nucleotide ribosomal RNA is filed under the name Stereum hirsutum. Its description in RNAcentral is "LSU rRNA". It matches the Rfam family "Eukaryotic large subunit ribosomal RNA", at positions 38 to 963 of the family's 3401-position model. Lineage: Eukaryota; Fungi; Basidiomycota; Agaricomycetes; Russulales; Stereaceae. The record is from RNAcentral.
GCAUAUCAAUAAGCGGGAGGGAAAAGAAACUAACAAGGAUUCCCCUAGUAACUGCGAAGUGAAGCGGGAAAAGCUCAAAUUUAAAAUCUGGCGGUCUUCUGGCCGUCCGAGUUGUAGUCUGGAGAAGCGUUUUCCGCGUUGGACCGUGUACAAGUUUCCUGGAACGGAGCGUCAUAGAGGGUGAGAAUCCCGUCUUUGACACGGAUCCCAAUGCUUUGUGAUGCGCUCUCAAAGAGUCGAGUUGUUUGGGAAUGCAGCUCAAAAUGGGUGGUGAAUUCCAUCUAAAGCUAAAUAUUGGCGAGAGACCGAUAGCGAACAAGUACCGUGAGGGAAAGAUGAAAAGCACUUUGGAAAGAGAGUUAAACAGUACGUGAAAUUGUUGAAAGGGAAACGCUUGAAGUCAGUCGCGUCGGCCGGGACUCAGCCUUGCAUCCGCUUGGUGUACUUUCCGGUCGACGGGCCAGCAUCAGUUUUGACCGCGAGAUAAAGGCGGAGGGAAUGUGGCUCUCUCGGGAGUGUUAUAGCCCUUCGUCAGAUGUCGCGGUUGGGACUGAGGAACUCAGCACGCCUUUAUGGCCGGGGCUCGCCCACGUACGUGCUUAGGAUGCUGGCGUAAUGGCUUUAAACGACCCGUCUUGAAACACGGACCAAGGAGUCUAACAUGCCUGCGAGUGUUCGGGUGGAAAACCCGUGCGCGCAAUGAAAGUGAAAGUUGGGAUCCCUGUCGUGGGGUGCACCGACGCCCGGCCCAGACCUUUUGUGACGGAGCUGCGGUAGAGCAUGUAUGUUGGGACCCGAAAGAUGGUGAACUAUGCCUGAAUAGGGUGAAGCCAGAGGAAACUCUGGUGGAGGCUCGUAGCGAUUUCUGACGUGCAAAUCGAUCGUCAAUUUGGGUAUAGGGGCGAAAGACUAAUCGAACCAUCUAGUAGCUGGUUCCUGCGA